UGCCCAAUUAUUUCCCUUCCUUUUAUGAGGCUUUAACAGUGUUGUCUACAUCGAAUUGGUGUUUAUAAAGAGGGUCAGCGUGCAUUUUAGAUAGGGGUCAUGCAUUCUGUAGUAGGGCAGGAGACGCCUGGCACAUUUAAAUGCAUGGUGUGAGAUAAAUGUGUGGAUGGCCCAGGCUUAUCAGUAUAUCACAUUGAAUUUCUUCAAGUGGCUGGUUGAGGGCUGUCGGACAUAAAAACACGUCCAAAAGGCUACAAGAGAUGAGGCGAAUUCUUCUAGCGCCACUCCUUCUGCUAAUAUUAAAACAGCUAGCGUUUCCUCCAUGUUCCCAGGGAUGACACCUCACUUAGCCAUCUACCCUCCUGCUAUGUGAUGUAAACGAUACCAUGAACUGCUUUCUGGCAUUGGAUGUUGAAACAUUAUACACACACACAUAAAGAGAGAGACUUAGCAUCUCAGAAUAGCAACUCCACAACACUCGGUAAUUGCCUCCUAUGCAGCUGGAGGCAUGUUAAAUGGUGGACACUGAAAAAAAUAAAAAUAAAAAUAAAGAGCAUGUAAAGUGGGUAAAAUUUAAAUCAGCCCAUGCAGGGGAAGCUUCUCCUGGACGUUUAUCAGUCAUGUCCUCAUCAGUCGAAGCUCAUCUGAGUCCAGGCUAAAGCCUCGAAGCAGAAGUGGAAACUGGGCCGAACGCCUAUCGCGAGUGUUUGUUAUCUGUGCUUACUAUCCUCAUGCUGGGUCCUGCAGGGUGCUGGUAUGAAUGUGAAGGACCAAAAGAGAAAUUUAAAAGAUUAAAGUGUGCUUUCUGUAUUUCUGUAUUUAUUAUUACUGAAAUAACACUAAUAAAACACAAUGAAAGUAUUACUUAAUAAAUAAAAUCGACUUAGCACUACUGGUACUUUUAAAGAGGGCGGACUUAAAGACCUCUGUAUUUAAAAUUAGCAUUAAGAAAAUUGGGCUCAUUUAAGCUUUUAGUUGUUCAGUUCACAAGAAUUAGACCCUUUGAAUACAACCCUAAGGCUACGUUUACACUAGUCAGAGAGUGUGUGGAGACUGAAAAUAUGUCUGUGCUAAACUUUCACUUAUCCUCCAAAUCCCACAUAAAAUCGGAGAAUUUAUUAGUCAUUGGCUAAUAUUAGACAUCAUUUAGUAGCCUAGGUAAAGAUUUAGUCGCAGAUGCGAGUGAUUUACUUGCAAUGUAGAGGGUUGCUUUGACCUCUAGUGCUCAAGUAUAUACACAAGCAUUCUUAAACAAGAGGCAUCAUCAUGCAAGUGAUGAGUUUCAAAGAAACAGAGAUGGACAGGAGGCAGUGUCAUCCUCUGUGAGGGUUUCCAGCCUAACCACCUUAUAUAGACCAUUGCUGCUGUGCAAUCUGAUGCCACUCACUAAAAUUUUCAAAAGAAAAUGGGCGAAGCGCGGCGCCAGUUAUUCUGCCACAGUGAUUUUACAUCCCUGGUACAAGGAGGCAUCUAAUCCAGAACAGCGGCAUGUUUCCCAUGAUCUCGGCGUGGGAUUGCAGGGUUCAUGUAAACCAGUGCUCACAUAAUCUUAUUAUAAUGAGUUUUACACUGAUGCAUAAUCUGUAGAGCCUUUUCUAAAAUAACUCGCAGCACUGAGAAAGAGGUCACGCUUUAAUGUACACAAUGAGAGCAAAACAAUAGUUGUCUAACUCUUAGUUAGGAGAUGAUGUGCAAAGCCUGCUCAUCACGAAAACAGAGGUCAUUAGGAAGCCACGCUUGACGCACACCCAAACAUCUAUUCUAAGUGACAAACUCCCAGGCAUGUUUAGAGCACAGACUAAUUUUACCCACUUCUCAUCUGACCUGACCCUUCACUGUGAGACAUUUCUGUAAUUGUCUGAUGAACCCUCAGGAGUGGAAGAGUUCCGGAGAACAUAUGUGCUGUGUAUCGAUGCACGUUACGAGAGAAUAAAACCAGCAUGCAAGUGAAAAAAAAUUACAGCAUACACAUUUGGGAAUAACAUAAGGACAAACGAGGCCUAAAACUUUCAUUACAUGAACUUGAAUAUUGCUCACAGAAACAGUAAGACUUUAAAUCAGGUUUGUGAGAGUGAGUAUAAGAAGAUUGGCUCUUGAGAAGCUAUAAGUCUGGGUGUGAUUAUAACAACUCUUCUCAUCCUAACAUCAGAAUCGGGCCUCUUCACUCCUGAAUAAUGAGAUCUGAUAAUCUGCAGCCCAAGCUGCUCUCCCGCUGGGCCAAACCAGACAGAAAAUACCAAGCCAAAUGAGGGGGCCACUGGGGCGAAUGCAACACCUCCACACUGAAGCGACAACAUCAGCCGACCCAUGUGGAUGAAGCAAGCAAUAAGAAGCAAGUUUGAGUUGUAAAAUGUAGUGCGCUGCCUAAAGAGACUGCAUUUUUGCUCCAAAAUGCAUUCUAUGUAGGCAGCACACAGGUAAUGAGACACAGCCAUUUUUACUCAAAGUGAGUCAAGGUGACCUGGUCCCACUCCCAGCACACACUCACAGAGAGCUCCAGGAAUAGUUUCUGCAUCACUAACAGUUUAAAGAUUAUUUUCUGAUGCAAUAGUCGUUGAGCUGAUAUGAAAUCAUAUAUACUAGAGCUGAUGCAAAGACUUGAGUUAUUGGAAAGUUCACAGUCAGAAGUUUGGACAGACUUGACUGAAUGAUUUCAUCUUUAUCCUUAUAUUUUAAAAAAAUUUAAGAAAUUUUACUUAAUGUAAAUGCUUGAAGGAACUAGUUUUAUAGGCAAAUAUAAAUCUUGUGUUUUUUUGGCUAGAGAGAAGAGGCCAUAAUACGCUUGUGAUAAUUUUGCUGCCGAUAUAAAACAGGAUUUUAUUGUACCUUUUUGUGUUAAUUUCAUUUAAAGCAAUAAGUGAUCACUGUAUCUAUAGAUAAUUAUUUUUUAUAACCAUAUUGAUUUUGCUGUAGACUUUUAUGUGCUCAGUAACAACAGCUUUUUUUACCCAGAUCAUGCCUUUUUCGUGGUGAAAAAUGCAAAUAAAUAUUUAAAUAUAUACUGAAUAUUGGAGAAAGUGAAGGAAAAGCAAUCAACAAGUGUCAGGCAUACUUUCAAACUCUAAUAUGGUUUAAAAAGCAUCCUAAAGAAAUUACUUGUAAGAUCAUUUCCAUUUGUUUAUCAUUUUGUAGACGGUAUAUAGGCUACUUCCUUUACUUUGUUUUGUGUUAUUUCAUUACUUUAACUUUAUGGUUAUACAAAAUGUGGAUAAUAAUACAAAAAACUGUAGGUGUGUCCAAACUUUUGACUCAUGUUUUCCAAAACCAAAUACUAAAAAUGCAUAUACUAGUGCUUUACAACUUGCUUAAUAAUAUAGUUUAGAGGUAUAAAAUGCUCAAUACCAAACUGUUUGAAACGGAAUAAAAAUGAGCUAAACCUGUAAUUAGGAAAAGAACGUUAACACAACACCUGUGCCUGUAUUGUUUUUUGACAUAUAACAACAAUCUCUCUCAAUUCCUCACAGGAACACAAGAGACCAAACGACAAAGCGUCAAAGUAAAGUUAAAUCCUGACUUUCCGGUCAAACAUGUCAGCAACUCGCAAAGCGAAAGCACAACAAAUGUACAACAAUACCAGUUUUGUUUCUAUGAAAUUGUAUUUAGACGUGGGCGUCUCUUAAUGACUAGGAAACACAGCUAAAGUUUAUUAGAAACGGUUCAAAAAGUAAAUUAUUUGGAAUAAAGUUGACAGGAGAGUGCUGCCCUGAGGGAAACUCAACAGGUGAAGCUCACAGCGAAGCAUUCCACCCAGUAUCCGUGAAUAAACCUUAUUAUCACAGACAAAAUGAAUAUACACUAUGUGUGUUAAAACAUUUUCAUAUUCUAACGCUUAAGUUUUAUUCCACAAAGAAAUAAAAAAAACUGUUUCGGAAAAAUUAUAACGUUACAUGACAUUCCUCAAGGCAGCGAU
Long non-coding RNA from Carassius auratus (goldfish), 3910 nucleotides. RefSeq lists it as uncharacterized. The transcript has 3 exons. The record is from RefSeq and is a predicted model, not a curated record. NCBI's taxonomy places the organism in Eukaryota, Metazoa, Chordata, Actinopteri, Cypriniformes, Cyprinidae.